CAUUGCCUGGCCCUGAUUCCGAGCGCAGCAGUGAGUACGGUUAGUACAGAAGGUAACGCUCUGGGGGGAUGAGCUCGGGCAGAACUUACAAUGCGGUGAGCUAAAGCAUGACGAGCGUUUUUACUCUUAGCUAAAAAAAAGAUGUGCGCUGGCGAGACAAAAGAGCCUACAUAUUAUUCCUAUUGAAAUGUGAAAAGAGGAGACUGUGGAAAAUACAUCCAAAACGAAAUAUUGCUGAUCAUUUUGUUAUAAAUGUCUCCCUGGAAGAUGUGGUCUCCAGGGGUUAAUUUGAUGCUGAUAAUGAUUUUACCACUUAAUACAGCACAAAACACAGACCUUCCUCCACCUGCCCUCAACACCAAUGACAGCAGCUCCCUGAACCAGAUUACUACACCGUCCAGCCUAACUGGCCAACCUGUUCAGCCCUACAUCAGUCUCCUACUCCUUGGUCUUACCGUGGGACUCUCCGGGAGUGUCUACCUUUGCAUACUGCGAUAUAUCUGCAUUGGCUGGUGCCAGCCAAUAGUGGUCACCCCAGAGUCGGAAGCUCUUGCUGGUUUUGUGUAGGUUACAGUGAUGUUGUGACAUUCUGUGCCCCGCUAUAUUGGUGACCCUGCCUUUUAAAAGCAUACUGAGGCAAAAGCCUUUUGAAGUUCACUUUGGUGUUGUGAAUGGACAUUAUAAUAUUUGGUCCCUCUGCAUACUGAGUCAAAUUAAUGCAUAAUAAGCCUAUUGAGGCUUUAAGUGCCAGGGCUACUUGAGUAGGUAUAUUCAUAAGGGCGGAGUGUGCUGCUUUAUGAUCCGAGAACUCAAUGUUUUCAUUCAAAAAGAACGCUUUGAGUUUGUAUAUAUGACAGAUAUCUUUGACACAUUUUUUGACAAAAAUGUCCAGAGAUUUAUAUUCAACACUCUUCUACCUGCCUGUGCGAAAUACGAAGCAGACUAAUUUUGGCUCUGGCUAUAGAGUCAUAACAUCAAUUAUGUAAGAAGCACUUCAUGGGAUUUUUAAGGCGUUAGAUUGUCAAAUGCAAUUAAUAGUGUAAAAAAUCAAGUGAACAUGUUCAUAUAAUUGGCAUGUGACAGAUUUAGAAGAGAUUGUCAGGUACCGAUAGAAGUCUCAGGGGAUGGGCUGUCUGGUUCGGCUGGUUGCCAUGGGCUACUGCCAUUGCUUGUUGCCAUGGAAAUAGUUCUACUAUUAUGCCUCUAGAUGGUGUUGUCCUCCAGAUUAUUGAGUAAGAAUGGCACUUUGAACAGUUGAAAGAGAAAUCAGAAGAAACAUUCAACAUUUGUUUUUAUAUGGUUAAAGGUGAAAUGUGAAUGUUAUAUUUAUGUGUAUUGGUGACUUUUUAAUAUUUAGAAUUUUAUGUAAACACAUUAAAUCAUUAUGAUUUGUUAUUUUAUUUGACAACUAUAUAAUCCAAAUGGUUUCCAUUUAUAAUUAA
Esox lucius (northern pike) is the source of this 1442-nucleotide long non-coding RNA. Lineage: Eukaryota; Metazoa; Chordata; Actinopteri; Esociformes; Esocidae. The record is from Ensembl.